This 235-nucleotide long non-coding RNA is filed under the name Dasypus novemcinctus (nine-banded armadillo). Its description in RNAcentral is "lncRNA (ENSDNOG00000051219.1)". The record is from RNAcentral. Lineage: Eukaryota; Metazoa; Chordata; Mammalia; Cingulata; Dasypodidae.
GAACUGCUCUUGAAUAGCUCCCCAUGGAAGAGGGAUUCCUUAUACUGCUGCAAGUAACAUGACUUCACAGGCACACAGCUUGGAUAGGAGUGAGGACCGCUGCUUCCUUCUUGAGGUGCUCGGACCUGGGAGCUAGCAUGGACUGCAGCACCAGCUCUCUUCUACAGAACUUGUGUUGGAGCAAAAGACUCUAUUCUAGAUCCAUUCCAGAGUUGCUGUGAGAAAAUUCUCCCCU